This 271-nucleotide ribosomal RNA is filed under the name uncultured bacterium. RNAcentral's name for it is "partial 16S ribosomal RNA". It matches the Rfam family "Bacterial small subunit ribosomal RNA", at positions 524 to 794 of the family's 1533-position model. The record is from RNAcentral.
UACGGAGGAUCCAAGCGUUGUCCGGAUUUAUUGGGUUUAAAGGGUGCGUAGGCGGCAGUUUAAGUCAGAGGUGAAAGACGGUAGCUCAACUAUCGCAGUGCCUUUGAUACUGAAUUGCUUGAAUGAACUAGAGGUAGGCGGAAUGAGACAAGUAGCGGUGAAAUGCAUAGAUAUGUCUCAGAACACCGAUUGCGAAGGCAGCUUACUAUGGUUUUAUUGACGCUGAGGCACGAAAGCGUGGGGAUCAAACAGGAUUAGAUACCCCAGUAGU